UACAACAGUGUCCACUAUAAUAUAACAGUGAAAAUCUGGUGUUUUCAUAAUUUUUUCAAUCAAUUUCACUCAUUGGUUAGUUCUAUAUACUUACCAUGUUUUGUACUACAUGAUUCUGGGCAAUCCAUCAAUCAUUUUUUUGGAAAACAUUGUGAACACCAUGGUAUGAAACACAACAAUCAAAACAUGAGAGUAAUGUGAGCUGCCCAGUGUCAACACAUAGACUGAGCACCGACUGGGGGAGGAAGGUGGCAAGUAGAGGACCACAUCUAUUCCCAAGAAUGGACGAGUUGACAGUUCUGGACGACGCUCUCUAUCAAACUCACCGCUGCAGUCGGAGGUAGUAGAAAGGAUGGCCUCUUCAGACCCCAAAUGCCACGUUCAGUGCCGAUCAGCUGAAAAGGUUGGACAACUACGUCCCUACAUCCAGG
Homarus americanus (American lobster) is the source of this 431-nucleotide long non-coding RNA. RefSeq lists it as uncharacterized. The record is from RefSeq and is a predicted model, not a curated record. The transcript is spliced from 3 exons. NCBI's taxonomy places the organism in Eukaryota, Metazoa, Arthropoda, Malacostraca, Decapoda, Nephropidae.